This 2233-nucleotide long non-coding RNA is filed under the name Sus scrofa (pig). Its description in RNAcentral is "lncRNA (ENSSSCG00035065903.1, ENSSSCG00065045278.1)". Lineage: Eukaryota; Metazoa; Chordata; Mammalia; Artiodactyla; Suidae. The record is from RNAcentral.
CUUUCCCCCAGCACCCCCCCCAACCCCAAGAAGUUUCCAAAGUGACCACAUGUGGGCCCAAAUCAAACCCUUGUCCUCAGGCCUCUGCUGGCACUUCUCCCAGAUCGCCCACCUUCCUCCUCCAGCUCCGCAGCCCGGCCACCCUCCUCACCCCUGCCCCCGCCAUUCCUCUUUGUGGACAACUUUCUAAAUGCAGCCAAACUUCCCCUUUCAGUCCACAGCCCCCAGAAAACAGCUGCAAAAAGUCAGCGGCUCGGCAAGUUCUCUUGCAAAGUUUGGCCGAGAGUAACAGCCACUCGUUCUAGCCAUUGCCACCCUCUCCCAGGCUCAGAAGGCCAGUCUCCCCCUCCAGGAAACAGUGAGAAGCCCCCGCUCCAGUACUGCUCCCGGGGUCACAGUCUCCCCAGCAAUCUAAUCUAGAGAGAACUCCUGAAAGGGGCCCGGCUGAGGGUAGCUGGGGGAAGUUGACCGCCCGAAACCUGACGGGUUUCCUGACCUUGCCCAAGCCCUCUGUGACCCUGGGCACCUCACUUACUCCCCCCACCACUGCCCCCCCACACCCAGGCACAGGCCUCUCCUUUGGAGAACAAGGGAUGGAUACAUUGGUUGAUUUUCCAGGCCCCUUCCAAGUCUGAAAUUCCACACAUGGGUCGUUUCUCCCUAGGGUGCCCAGGGAUGGGAGAGAAGCUGUGCCCAGGGACACCCGUCUCACUGAGGGUGGUCUGACCAGGCCUCCGAAAAUGCAUUCUUCGUCCUCUCGGUGACAGUCGGCCCCCUGUAAAAGAGAGGCUCUCACGCCCGAGUCUGAUCAGAAUCACCUGGGAAAACCACACCAUCUCCGACCCCAGCUACACUCCGGACCAAAGAAACCAGAAUCUCAGCUCAGGGCCUGGUCCUCAGUCUGUUUGGAAGGUUACUCAGGUGAUUCUGAAUGAGCAGAAAGAGUUCAGAACCAUUGUGGAAAAGGCAUCUAGAAACGAAAGAGGAAGCUGUAAGCCAGAGAUGCCACAUCUGGGUGCCACCUUCUCUGCUGAGAAGCUCUUGAGGCCAGUGGGAUGGACUCCAGUUCACACGCUUGUAACCACCACCCCUUCAUGGCUGCCACAAGAACGAGUGAAAACCUGUGGGAAAAGUGCAAAGGCAGUUAAUUUGUGGCGUGAGAGCACAGGAAACUCAGCUCUCAGAACGGGCUUCAGGAGAAGGCCGGAAGCCUGCAGCAACGUUUUGAAUUGAAGGCGGGGGCUCUGAGACACCCAGAGCCUGAGUCGCUGGAAACAGCAGCUGCCCCCAGGGGUCUGUAAAAGGUCAGGGUGAGGGGUGUUGCAGGAAAGGUGUCUCAGGACAGUGGGUAAAGGGCACCCCGGGGACCAAGCUCGACAGGCCCCUCAGAGGCCGCUGGGGGUCCAUCCAUACACCAAGGAAGGUGCGGGGCAAGGCAAGCUUCCGCACCGAGCCGGGGUCUCUCCUGGCACAGCUGUCAGUGCCUCCGGUCACUUCCUGCACCCAGCAGGUGGGCACAUCCAAGACCCUGUGAAGCACCUGUGAUGUUGUCUUCCCAGCAGGAGUCCCCAUGAUGCCCUCACAACUCUGAGCCCCAUCUCCUUCGUCCGCAUCCCCCGACCUCCUGUAGGAGGUCUUUUCAGAGUCGGGGUGGGGGUGGCCGGGCCCCAGGAAAGCCUUCCAGGUCACUGAGCAGUAUGCUGACCAGCAGGGCCGGGGCUCAGCCCAGGAAACUGAUGACUCAGGGGGAUGUACCUUCGCUCCGUGGACACGUUAGAGACAUUGGCCUUGGGCCCUCCCGGUGCCAGGCGUGAGGGCGAGGAGAGCAGUCAGGCCUGGUCCUUGCUCUCAUGGGGUUUACCCUCCAGAAAAGGGCACAGAAGUAGACAGGCCUCAGUGUGUCUUCUUUCAUCCCUUCUAGAAAACUGAGAAAGGAGGGAAGCAAGGAAAGGAGGGAUCUGCCUACAGAUGGAUUCAGAGCCUCAUCACUUCUCCCCGCGCCCCACGCGCUGCUACUGCCACCAUCUCUGCCUGGAUUGUUUACAUUGGGGUCCUGGAAUUCCUUUGUGGCACAGCAGGUUGAGGAUCCAGCAUUGUCACUGCAGCAGCCCAGGUUGCUGCUGUGGUGUGGGUUCGAUCUCUGGCCUGGGAACUUCCUAAUGCCAUCGGUGAGGCAAUUUAAAAAAAAAACACACACAAUUCGGCCCUGAAUGCGGCAGGCCAGCUCUACCAC